AUUGAACGCUGGCGGCAUGCCUUACACAUGCAAGUCGAACGGCAGCACGGGAGCAAUCCUGGUGGCGAGUGGCGAACGGGUGAGUAAUAUAUCGGAACGUGCCCAGUCGUGGGGAUAACGUAGCGAAAGCUACGCUAAUACCGCAUACGAUCUAUGGAUGAAAGCGGGGGAUCGCAAGACCUCGCGCGAUUGGAGCGGCCGAUAUCAGAUUAGGUAGUUGGUGAGGUAAAGGCUCACCAAGCCGACGAUCUGUAGCUGGUCUGAGAGGACGACCAGCCACACUGGGACUGAGACACGGCCCAGACUCCUACGGGAGGCAGCAGUGGGGAAUUUUUGGACAAUGGCGCAAGCCUGAUCCAGCAAUGCCGCGUGCAGGAUGAA
RNAcentral lists this ribosomal RNA (381 nucleotides) under uncultured bacterium. RNAcentral's name for it is "bacterial SSU rRNA". It matches the Rfam family "Bacterial small subunit ribosomal RNA", at positions 30 to 412 of the family's 1533-position model. The record is from RNAcentral.